CCUACGGGAGGCAGCAGUGGGGAAUAUUGCACAAUGGGCGCAAGCCUGAUGCAGCAACGCCGCGUGAGGGACGACGGCCUUCGGGUUGUAAACCUCUUUUAGUAGGGAAGAAGCGAAAGUGACGGUACCUGCAGAAAAAGCACCGGCUAACUACGUGCCAGCAGCCGCGGUAAUACGUAGGGUGCAAGCGUUGUCCGGAAUUAUUGGGCGUAAAGAGCUCGUAGGCGGUUUGUCGCGUCUGCUGUGAAAACCCGAGGCUCAACCUCGGGCCUGCAGUGGGUACGGGCAGACUAGAGUGCGGUAGGGGGGAUUGGAAUUCCUGGUGUAGCGGUGGAAUGCGCAGAUAUCAGGAGGAACACCGAUGGCGAAGGCAGAUCUCUGGGCCGUAACUGACGCUGAGGAGCGAAAGCAUGGGGAGCGAACAGGAUUAGAUACCCUGGUAGUCCAUGCCGUAAACGUUGGGAACUAGAUGUAGGGACCAUUCCACGGUUUCUGUGUCGCAGCUAACGCAUUAAGUUCCCGCCUGGGGAAGUCGGCCGCAAGGCUAAAACUCAAAGGAAUUGACGGCUGGAGACGNGCGACGACGACGACGAGGAGAGG
RNAcentral lists this ribosomal RNA (600 nucleotides) under uncultured bacterium. RNAcentral describes it as "bacterial SSU rRNA". It matches the Rfam family "Bacterial small subunit ribosomal RNA", at positions 338 to 961 of the family's 1533-position model. The record is from RNAcentral.